RNAcentral lists this non-coding RNA (24 nucleotides) under Arabidopsis thaliana (thale cress). Lineage: Eukaryota; Viridiplantae; Streptophyta; Magnoliopsida; Brassicales; Brassicaceae. The record is from RNAcentral.
CCACCCAUCCCAACGACCGGUGAC